This 410-nucleotide ribosomal RNA is filed under the name uncultured Actinomycetales bacterium. RNAcentral describes it as "bacterial SSU rRNA". It matches the Rfam family "Bacterial small subunit ribosomal RNA", at positions 355 to 776 of the family's 1533-position model. The record is from RNAcentral. Lineage: Bacteria; Bacillati; Actinomycetota; Actinomycetes; Actinomycetales.
UGGGGAAUCUUGCGCCAAUGCGCGAAAGCGUGACGCAGCGACGCCGCGUGGGGGAUGAAGGCCCUCGGGUUGUAAACCCCUUUCGCCAGGGACGAAGCGAGAGUGACGGUACCUGGAGAAGAAGUCCCGGCUAACUACGUGCCAGCAGCCGCGGUAACACGUAGGGGACGAGCGUUGUCCGGAUUCAUUGGGCGUAAAGCGCGCGUAGGCGGUCGUGCAAGUCGGUUGUGAAAUCCCGGGGCUCAACCCCGGGACUGCGUCCGAUACUGUGCGACUGGAGGCAGGUAGGGGAGAUCGGAAUUCCUGGUGUAGCGGUGAAAUGCGCAGAUAUCAGGAGGAACACCGGUGGCGAAGGCGGAUCUCUGGGCCUUGCCUGACGCUGAGGCGCGAAAGCUAGGGGAGCGAACAGG